CCCUGAGCUCUACCAUGAUAGGUUGUGCUCUUGUAAGGUCUCAUAAGGAAAGGAUGGGAGGGCCUGCUCAGUACUUGGAUGGAACACCUCCAAGGUAAACCUGGGAUGCUGCAGUGG
RNAcentral lists this ribosomal RNA (117 nucleotides) under Chrysemys picta bellii (western painted turtle). Lineage: Eukaryota; Metazoa; Chordata; Testudines; Emydidae. The record is from RNAcentral.